UCUCACCUGCUCUGCAAUCCACAGGCGUGGAAGAAGGGAAGGGGGUGAAAAGAAAUCAGUGAGACAACACCCAGAGUGAGACAACAGCGUGGAAAUCCUGUAUCAGGAAGCUUCAGCUUUGUCAUUCUCUUCCCCACAGCAAAAAAAAAAAAAAAAAAAAAAAAAAAAAAAACACCAAAAACCCACAGCUAUUACCCAAAAGCUGUUAGGACUGUUCAAACCCCUUUCCCAAACACAGCCUGCAUUUCCCAGUGGAAUGAAGCACCACUCCCCUCAAGGAGUGCUCCUGUCACUUGUUCCCUCUUGGAGAGCAUCUUGGCAGCAUCCCAGGGAAAUUCAAAGUAGACACAUCUCACUGUGGGGCAUUUUCACAAUGCUCUGCCAUGAAAUGCUGCUCUGCCCACAUUUUAGGGAAAAAAAAAAUACAAUAAGGAAGUGAUAACUGAGAAAGGACAUACUGCUGUUUUAUUCUUAUAAGGAAUCAGAUUCCUUGGCAUUUUUAGCAAGGAAUGAACUUUAUUUUAGCAAGAAACAACUUGAUUUUAGUGGAAGUUCAUUCCAUUUAUCUGUUCUUUAGCAAAAAAUGAUCAGAGGGAUGGAACACCUCCCCUGAGAGGAAAGGCUGAGACAACUGGGAUUGUUCAGCCUGGAGAAGAGAAGGGUCUGAUAAGACUUUAUGAGAACUUUGAGUGCCUGAAGAGCUUGAGAGGAACUUGGAACAAGGGCUGGAGGGACAGGACAAGGGGGAAUGGCUUUAAGCUGCAGGAGGGCACGGUUAGAUGGGAUAUUGGGAAGGAAUUGUUCCCUGUGAGGCUGGAGAGGCCCUGGCACAGGGUGCCCAGAGAAGCUGUGGCUGCCCUGGAUCCCUGGAAGUGUCCAAGGCUAGGUUGGACAGGGCUUGGAACAACCAAGUGGAAGGUGUCCCUGCCCAUGGCAGAGGUGGAUCAAAAGAUUUAAGGUCCCUUCCAACCCAAACAAUUUUGGGAUUCUGAAGAUAACUUGGCUCUUUCCCUCCACUCAGUUUUGAACACUCAUGGAAACAAAAAAAAAACCCAGCUCUUGGGAACAGCAAGGGCUUCACAGCACAGGAUGGACAAGACCUCUGCCAUGUCAGAGCUGGACAUUCCCAAAGCCAUUAGGAAUGGAGCAGCAGGAAAAGCUGGCAGGAAAAAUGCAUCCUUAAGGAUACAGGAAGCUUCCCUCCUCCCUGUCCUUUUCAUGACAGUCCAUCAGAGUUUGUCCCUGGCUGGGGACAGACACCUCCUGCACCCAUGGUGCUGCCUGGAGAAAACAAUCUUUAUCUCUGCUCUUUGUUUUUCCCAUGUGGAAUGUGGUGUGGAGAUUGUUUACCUGCAGUGAUGGCUGGGUUGGAUUCUGGUGAAGGUUUUUUGGGGUCAGUGACCAGUGGGAUCCAGCUGUGUUGGACUCUCAGCAGAGAGUCACGAGUUUGAGUUAGGUAAGGAAGAAGUAAGUAUGUAGAAUAGUAUAGUAUCUCUUUAAAUAGUAUAUUCAUGUAAUAUAGUAUAGUUUUAAUAAGGCUAUCCUUCAGCCCUCUGAUCUGGAGCCAGACAUCAUCAUUUCUUCCCUGAGUCAGGGUCACCUUUUUUACUGUACAAACCCAGUCAGGAGCACUGGACAAAAUAUAGAAAACUCUUAUUUCUUGCAAAAAGAGAAUGAGGAUUUUUGGCGGGAAGGCAGAUUUCUGGAUAAAAAUGUGCUUUUCUCUCUCAUGCUUGAGUGGCAUGUGAAAAUAGAAAAAAAAGAGAAUCACUUAGUUCUGUCUUUACUAAAUUUUCUUUUGGUUUUGCCUGAGGUUCCUGAUGGUGUCUCUGCUUUUCCCGUGUCUUUCUAAUAAACCAGCAGAGUUUGCAAUUUGUAUUUUUGUAUGUGGUGGGUAAACCCACGCUUUGUGAGGUUCACACGGCCUCACACAGGCGAACCCAUAUUUCUGUACCUUGUCACACAGCACCUUAAAUGUAUAAAAAGCAAGUUUUGCACAAAUUUUUCCCAGGCAUAACCAGGCUAACCCAGAGGGGGUUUGGGCACAGUAGUUUCCUGCAGUCUUCUCUGUUUCCAAGAAAACACAGAGCUCAUCUCCCUCUUCCUACCAAAAUCUGCAGCAAAUCUUAAUUUUCAGCCCGGGAACCCAGCUGAAAAAUGUGUUUUCUGCAACACUGUUGUGCUUAAAUGAUACCAAAAAUCAAUUGUAAUUAAAAUAGAAAAAAAAAAAAAAAA
Molecule: long non-coding RNA, 2235 nt
Organism: Taeniopygia guttata (zebra finch)
Lineage: Eukaryota; Metazoa; Chordata; Aves; Passeriformes; Estrildidae
Source: Ensembl